GACGAACGCUGGCGGCGUGCCUAAUACAUGCAAGUAGAACGCUGAAGGAGGAGCUUGCUUCUCUGGAUGAGUUGCGCACGGGUGAGUAACGCGUAGGUAACCUGCCUGGUAGCGGGGGAUAACUAUUGGAAACGAUAGCUAAUACCGCAUAAUAGCAGUUGUUGCAUGACAACUGUUUGAAAGGUGCAAUUGCACCACUACCAGAUGGACCUGCGUUGGAUUAGCUAGUUGGUGGGGUAACGGCUCACCAAGGCGACGAUACAGCGGCGACCUGGGAAGGGGGUCCGCCACACUUGGACCGAGAAACGGCCCAGACUCCUUCGGGAGGGAGCAGGAGGGAAAUUUUGGCCAUGGACGGAAAGCUGACCGAGCAACGCCGCGUGAGUGAAGGAGGGUUUCGGAUCGUAAAGCUCUGUUGUAAGGGAAGAACGAGUGUGAGAGUGGAAAGUGCACACUGUGACGGUAUCUUACCAGAAAGGGACGGCUAACUACGUG
Molecule: ribosomal RNA, 495 nt
Filed under: uncultured bacterium
Lineage: Bacteria
Description: partial 16S ribosomal RNA
Rfam family: Bacterial small subunit ribosomal RNA
Source: RNAcentral